Long non-coding RNA from Trematomus bernacchii (emerald rockcod), 521 nucleotides. RefSeq lists it as uncharacterized. The record is from RefSeq and is a predicted model, not a curated record. The transcript has 3 exons. NCBI's taxonomy places the organism in Eukaryota, Metazoa, Chordata, Actinopteri, Perciformes, Nototheniidae.
AUUAUUGUAGUCAUAAUUGUGACGCUGCUGGCUCUGAUCCUGAUAGCUGUUCUUCUUCUGUGUUGUUGCAGGAGGAAGAAGAAAACUCUGGACUCCCCCAAUGAAGCGAAUGACCCUGUGCACAGUGUGAAGCUGGACUCUGGUCCUGAGUACCAACAUGUCUCAGGCUUCAAGUCCAUCUCAGCAGCACAGACUGAAGACUCUGAGCAACAGGAAGAGCUAAUGUGAAGCAUCACAUUUUACAACAUGCACUGUUUAUUGUAAACAUUUCAAAGACACCUCACCAGAUGGCACACUUUAGAUGUUGCAGUGGCUGAUUGGAAGAAACAGAGAGCUUCCCUAAUAACUUUUGUUAGUUUGAACAUCAUUUCAGUCCCCUCUCACUCCCGCAGGAGGCGCCACUGUGCAGAAAGUUUUAGACAAAAUGUUUCUGAACAGGUAAAUAUAUUUGUCAAGCCGAAAGCACUGAGAGUGAACAACACAGCUUUCACAGGUUGGAGAGGAAAGAGCAGAAUAUGUGU